Molecule: ribosomal RNA, 458 nt
Filed under: uncultured Desulfobulbaceae bacterium
Lineage: Bacteria; Pseudomonadati; Thermodesulfobacteriota; Desulfobulbia; Desulfobulbales; Desulfobulbaceae
Description: bacterial SSU rRNA
Rfam family: Bacterial small subunit ribosomal RNA
Source: RNAcentral
UGGCAGCAGUGAGGAAUAUUGCGCAAUGGGGGAAACCCUGACGCAGCGACGCCGCGUGGAUGAUGAAGGCCUUCGGGUCGUAAAAUCCUGUCAGGUGGAAAGAAAUGUAUGGAUGCUAAUACCAUUUAUAUUUGACGGUACCACCAAAGGAAGCACCGGCUAACUCCGUGCCAGCAGCCGCGGUAAUACGGAGGGUGCAAGCGUUGUUCGGAAUUACUGGGCGUAAAGCGCGCGUAGGCGGUUUUAUAAGUCAGAUGUGAAAGUCCACGGCUCAACCGUGGAAGUGCAUUUGAAACUGUAUGACUUGAGUACUGGAGGGGGUGGUGGAAUUCCCGGUGUAGAGGUGAAAUUCGUAGAUAUCGGGAGGAAUACCGGUGGCGAAGGCGACCACCUGGCCAGAUACUGACGCUGAGGUGCGAAAGCGUGGGGAGCAAACAGGAUUAGAUACCCCAGUAGUC